Molecule: long non-coding RNA, 519 nt
Organism: Mytilus trossulus (common blue mussel)
Lineage: Eukaryota; Metazoa; Mollusca; Bivalvia; Mytilida; Mytilidae
Exons: 5
Source: RefSeq, a predicted model, not a curated record
AAUUUGUGAACACUUUUAUCAAGGGGGAAUUAAUUUCGAAUUACUAGUUUCACUGAGCUGGCUGUUAUCACUUUGGUUGGAAAGUCUCUUGCAGAAGAUGGAUGAGCCCCGAGAUGAAAGUUCAGUCCUACACCUGAAGGAAGACGGUUUCAUUAUAGUUGCCAGAUAAUGAUGUUACGCCCAGGAUCCAGUGAGAUGGAGGAGCCCAGAUGAAAGUUCAGUACUAGACCUGAAGGAAAAUUGUUUCAUUUUAUUUGCCAGAUAUGAUGAUGCAAAAAGAGCAUAGACAUAGAAAAUUGUGCCAUUGACAAAGAUCUGGAAAGAAGCUUAAGGUGGGACCAAGUGUCAGUCGAAAUGGCAGAUGAGUAGCACCUCGAUGGAAGAUGUUUACUUAGAUCUUCAACCAAGUACAAGGCUUUGCCAUGUAAGCAAUCAAGCAGCAAGGAUAGCAGCUGGAAUGAAGAUUAAUUAUUACAUUGAUCUUCAACCAAGUCUGAGGCUUUGUCAUGAAAGAAAUAA